This 254-nucleotide ribosomal RNA is filed under the name uncultured bacterium. Its description in RNAcentral is "partial 16S ribosomal RNA". It matches the Rfam family "Bacterial small subunit ribosomal RNA", at positions 524 to 776 of the family's 1533-position model. The record is from RNAcentral.
UACGUAGGGUGCGAGCGUUGUCCGGAAUUAUUGGGCGUAAAGAGCGUGUAGGCGGCCAGGUAGGUCUGCUGUGAAAACUCGAGGCUUAACCUCGAGAUGUCGGCGGAAACCAUCUGGCUAGAGUCCGGAAGAGGAGAAUGGAAUUCCCGGUGUAGCGGUGAAAUGCGCAGAUAAUCGGGAAGAACACCCGUGGCGAAGGCGGUUCUCUGGGACGGUACUGACGCUGAGACGCGAAAGCGUGGGGAGCGAACAGG